Molecule: transfer RNA, 73 nt
Filed under: Simiduia agarivorans SA1 = DSM 21679
Lineage: Bacteria; Pseudomonadati; Pseudomonadota; Gammaproteobacteria; Cellvibrionales; Cellvibrionaceae
Also listed under: 1 other name
Rfam family: tRNA
About the family: Transfer RNA (tRNA) molecules are approximately 80 nucleotides in length. Their secondary structure includes four short double-helical elements and three loops (D, anti-codon, and T loops). Further hydrogen bonds mediate the characteristic L-shaped molecular structure. tRNAs have two regions of fundamental functional importance: the anti-codon, which is responsible for specific mRNA codon recognition, and the 3' end, to which the tRNAs corresponding amino acid is attached (by aminoacyl-tRNA synthetases). tRNAs cope with the degeneracy of the genetic code in two manners: having more than one tRNA (with a specific anti-codon) for a particular amino acid; and 'wobble' base-pairing, i.e. permitting non-standard base-pairing at the 3rd anti-codon position.
Source: Rfam by way of RNAcentral
GCUGGUGUAGCUCAGUUGGUAGAGCAUCUGACUUGUAAUCAGGCGGUCGAGGGUUCAACUCCUUUCACCAGCU